This is a long non-coding RNA of Taeniopygia guttata (zebra finch), 7505 nucleotides long. The record is from Ensembl. Lineage: Eukaryota; Metazoa; Chordata; Aves; Passeriformes; Estrildidae.
UUUUUUUUUUGUUUUUUUUUUUUUUUAGUUUGAAAGGUUAGAAAAUGCUGUGGAGAUUAAUAACAUCACUGUUAUUAAUUAUAACCCACCAAAAUACAUAUUUCUACAAUAAGGAGGGUGUAUUCUCAGUGGGAGAUUAUUCUGGAGAAGAGAAAUUACUUAGGAAAUAACCAUGCCUGGGUCAAUUGACAGAAAGCAAUUAGAGCUUUUUCCCAGCAUGUAGGAAACAGGCAAUAGUAUAAUUGACUCAUUGUACUUUUUGAAAUAAACCAGUGAAAUAAUGCACACAAAACAAAACUGUGAGAACUUGUGUCAAAUUAGUCAAAUCCUGGAAAACAAUUAGAGCAAAGAAAUACAUCAAGACUGAGGUAGGUACAAAGACCCUGACAUCAGUAGCAGAUUAGAAAACUAGACUGACAGACCAGUUAUAAAUAAUGAUGCAAAUGUACUUACCAUACAUAGCAUGUCAAAAGUUUUCACCUUUUGAUCCCACCCUUAGGUGUUACAUCUCUGUUUACUCUAGGCAUGUUACACGCAUGAGGGAAGUGACACAGAUAUAAACAGUCUACACAUGUAGGCCAUGUGAUACAAGCACCCCUGCAGUAGAAAUAGAAUAUAAUUUCUAAACAGCGUUUCGUUCUGGACCAAAAAUAAAGCUCCCAGGGAGAGGCUGUGGGGUGCUGAGAAUCUUUUUAGAGUUCACAGACAGUCUGGAAUCCAUAAUCCAUCUUUUCAGUGUAAGUUCAUAGAGCUAGCAAAAUAGUGAAUGUAAAUUGAGGUGUUAUUCCACCAGUUUUUGUUGGCAGGCCAGUGGCACCUGCCCUGGAAAGUCAGAAGGUGAGCGCAUGAUUUAAUCUGGAAAAGGUGUCAGUCAAACCAGAAUUUUUUUCCUUACCACAACUAUUUUAUGCCCAUGCUCAACCAGAAAUAAAAAUUGAGAGAAAAAGUAAAGGAAGAAAACACAAUGUGACUCGGUUUGCAGCCACUGCAGUUUAAUCACAGUGUAUCCUUCAUGGUUUGUGGCAUUUAAUAUGUUUCUAGGGCUUCGAUGGUGGCUUUUAAAAUAAUAGUACAAUUAAAUUAAAGUGUAUAGUUCUACUGACUGAUCUAUGCUUCUUCUGUACUUUAUAUUUCCUGCAAAAUUUUCAGGCUGCAAUAAAAAUGCAUUUUUGUCACUAGUGGAAAUAAGUGACGUUAAAUAUUGUCUGGAACAGGAGACCAGUGAUUUUCAAUUAACAUUAAGUAGGAAACUGUUUAAUAUCAAUUGUUAUUAAAUGGGCAAAUUAGCAUUAAAUUAAAGCUAAUAGGAUAGGCAAAGUUUUCCAUUAAGCAAGCCAAUAUUAAGUGCAUUCGAUCUUUUAUGGUAUCCACUAUUCUGUUUCCUCAGCUGAAAGAUGUUUCUUGAUAAAUAGGCAUUUAUCCAGUUUAUGCCCCGUCAGCUACCAACUUUAUCUGAUCUCUAUUAUAAAAAUUCAGUGGAUAAGGCAUUCUUGCAAAUUUGAUGGACAUUAAUUCUGUGGCCUCUUCUUGAACUUCCUCUUUGAGCUUCAUCUCACCAUUAACUACUUUUUGAUGUUCCACAAUGAGGAACAACGAAAUCAUCAUCUUGGAUGCUUCUCCAGUUUAGAUGAGGCCAACUGUUGAUAUCAAUGAAACAGGACUGCAUAGAGAAGAAACAAAUGCAGAAAAAGGCUUGAUAUUUAAAAAAUUCUUAGAACAUAAUCCUCAUUAUAGGAACUGGUAGCUUCUAAGAUUCAGGAAUAAUUUUUUAAAAUGAGCAGGGUGUGAAUCAAAAAAUGGUCAUUUCAGGAUUUUUAUUUACUUUCUACCAUCUGAACAAUAAAUAGAUGUUGAGUUGUGUGGUGGGACGGUACAUGCCAUGAGUUUUACUCAAACAGAAAACCUAGGAGGACUGUAUGUGCUAGACCAUAUCUGAAACCUACAGAUUUGGAAAGAGAUGAGAGAGUACCAGACAAGUCUGUACCUCUGAGAUUCUGAAGCUCCUCUGAAAACUUGUUUGUUGGAUAUGUUAGGAUACAGCCUGAAAUCUGAAUUAUUCAUAACCAAAAAGCCAUGGAUUUUUUUUGUCCACUAGAUGGGCCUUAAGUCAUAGAGUGAACAAGACUUCUUGGAACUCUGACUCCCAUCUCCUGUUGUCACAGAGUUCAUGUUCUUAAACUCCUUUAACAGCUUUAUGAAACUAACUUGAAAGUUAGCAUGGCAGUGUCACAAAAGAAGCAGGUGUGUGUAGCUUCUUGAGUUAAGAAUUGAAACAUCUUCCCAGAAGAGGACCAGAGACAUAGGUGGGGUAUUAAUUAAAUCAAAGUAUAAAUAUACUUACAUUUUAAAAGAAAGUUUUCCUUUUUCUCACCUAAAGAUGGGGUGUUCCAUAGCCUAAAAUGUAUUUUUCAGUGAGUUUCUGAAAGCAUUCUGAAAUGUUCUCACAUAGGUGAGCUGGUUUACCUGCAGUAAGAAGUAAUUCUUCCCACCUAAACGUACAAACAUCUAGUCUUGCUGAAUUGUCUCUGGAGAGAAAACAGAACUGCAUUAUAGAGGAAUUUUGUGCAAAACAACUCGUCCUGUGUUUGUGAAGUGGCAGCAUGUUAGAAAACUGGUGCGACAGUUUGAUGGGUUUCCAUGGAAACUGCUAGACUUGAAUGCAUGGGUGCACAAGCAAGUUUGCCAGGUGCCCAGGAUUGGUUCAGAGGAAGGAAAAAUUACACUUCCAUGACAGCCAUAGAUUAGCUGAGCAAGUCUCUUUCCAAAGUGAUGUACUUGCAAAAAUAGAUAAGCGCCAACCAGACUAAAAUUUGUUUGUGCUUUAUACAGCAAACUGUGUAAUUUGAUCCCCCCUUGAAAAUGGCCAGAUUGCAGUUUCUGCCCAUUGAGUGUUUCACCCAAGAGGUUAUGGUCUUCUGCUGCAAGGUAAUUUUAUGGGGGGAAAAAAAAAGUUAAUAACCCAGCAUGUAGAAUGAAGAAACCAAAAUUGAAAUGGAAGAAUUAUUCCCUCAAAGAUAGCCACACAAGCAUUUCUGACACCAGUGAGAUAUGUAAUAGAAUAAACCAAAAAUAGGGUUUAUUUGAUAAUCCAUUACAUUCAUUGCCCUUGUCUGCUGGGCUGUUUGUAAAAAUCUGAACAUAACCAGGCCAUCAGCUACUGCAAAUCUCUAUUGAUUUGAUGAAAUGAGUGUAAUACUGAAAGCUUCUUUAAGCUGGAGCUGUAGCAGAGUAUUCUUUAAUGGGCAGAUACAGGUUAGGACCAGGGGGGAAAGGCUGAAUUGUACCUGGUGGCUCCUCUGUGCUUUCUCAUUGUGAGACUGCUGGCUUUUUCAUUUACUCUCUGAGCACAACUUUGGACUAAACAAUGCAAAUACCAGAAUGUCACUGUCACACCAUGAGAGAAAAGUGAUGAACAGUUCAGGAGAUAAUGACAAGGAGCCUUAGACCCCUGAAAAAUUAUGUAGGAAUAUGCUUUGGGAUCCAAAAGGUAGGAGCCUUUCAUAUGCCUCUUUAAAAAGAUUAGUGGUAUCUGAACAAAAUCCCACAGAAAUCAAUUCACCAGUUUCAGUUGACAAGGAAUUUAGUUUUAUAUACAGGGCAAUACUCAGGGAGGAGAAAAAUGGGCUGUAUAGAAUACACGUAAGAGGAAUUAUAGAGAUCUUGAAGCAUCUGGACUAAGUCCAAAGAACGCAGUGCAAGGGUAAAAACUCAGAUGUUUUGCUGUUUUGCCUGGAACCAUGAGUUUCUUACACAGCUGGAAGUGAAAACCUUGCCAGUACAAAAGAUUAUUCUAGUACUCAGAGUUUCUGAGCAAACCAACUUUUCAACAGACUGCCUUCAGGUAUUGUGCUCUGGGAAAUAGCUCUUGUGUGUCCACAAACCUGGAGGAUGUAAUUACAUUCUCUGAAGGAAGUCUACACCCAGGGCAGUUACAAAGGGCAACAAAGACAACUCUGUAACUUACUGAGCCCAAAGAAACCUUACAACUACUUAGGCUUAUUCCUACAGGAGCCAGGAGAGCCUAGUAAGUCACCAAGGCGUCCAUCAAGGCAUCACUGAACAAAAGCUAAGGACUUUUAUGAAUGGACCAUCUGGGCUCUGUCGUUGCCCAGAAGGGCUACUCUUACACAGCUGUUAGAUAAUGAGAUCAGAUUUUGGAUCACUAUAACUGUCAAUUAAAGCCUCACCUAUAACAAAUCCAACAAUUUAAAACAAUUUUUUAAUAGAUCAUUAGGCAUAUACAUAAAAUGGCUUUGUACCCUCCUCAGCUAGUGAAGUAGUAGUAGUAGAAUAGUCAGUGAAGACUAUUCUUCAGCCAUUUAGAUUAUUCAUUACACUCAAAUUCAGAUGUCUAAAGUACUACCUGUAUGGAUUUACCUGUGGUUUCAAUGUCUGAACUCCCAGCACAAUCACUGGAGGUCAUUUCCAUUUGUCCACACACUCUGUUUCAGUUAUCCUAUGGUACCUUUCCCAGCUUUCAUUUAUAUGCUGAAUAGCACAGGGCUCCUUUGUGUCAUGUGCUAUACCUGCCAGUGCAAUUCAGGUACCUUAAAAGAAUUUAUUCUGGUUAGAUAUUUAUAAAAAAGCUAAAUAAAACCCUGAUUCUCCUCUGAUUAGGAUGGAUACUCAUUCACCCAACUCGCACAAGAUCUCUCUUUGAUAUUCCUAGUGCAGAUGUCUACGAUCUGGAGCUGAAUACCAUCCUCACUUCCAGCCUCUCUUUCUAAAGCAUGCAUAAUACUUAUGGGUCUUUAUUCUUGGCCACACACCAAAUGGUAUCUCCAGCAUCAAGUAUUCAUGUCAAAAAUAAGUAAUUGUUUAAUGAAAAAAAGUAUUCCACACAGAAGUCUCCUAAUUUUAUAUGCAUAUGGCUUUAUACCGAUUCAAUGAUAACUGUAUAAAAAGACCAGGAGCAGAAAGAUUAACAGCAAUGCCCAAUGGAAGCCUCUGUCCAAACAUUUAUUUAUUUUUUUUUUAAUCUUUACUUGCUAUUUAAAGCACAAUUUCUUUUCAGAACCUGUGGGUCUUUCAUAAAGAAGUGAGUUACCAUAAAGAAGUGGGUAACUGCAUCUACUUUAAAUGUUGAUCUCAGCCUUUCUGAAGGGCCCAGCCAGGAGUCCUUCAGAGGGGUGGCUGCUGAGAUACACUAGUGCUGCUGCCCAUGGGCCACUGGUGUUUUGGGAGCAGAGACAUGAAUGAGUGUUAUCACCACACAGAGGCAGCUGGCAGAGGUACAAAGCAGCUUGUGAGCCCCAUACUUUGUCCAGUGGGCUGAAAACAGGACAAUGGAAGAGCUUCAGAAAAGCCACGAGUGACUGUUUGGUACACAAGUCCAUUAUAGCACGUCGUACUUUUCCAUUCUUUCAUUUGACUAAAUCACAGCUUUAGGAUAAAAUGAUGCGACAAAAAGAACCUUGUACAAAUGUAUUUAGUAUAAUGGCUGAAUGAGCUGACUCCAGGAGAAUCUUGCAUGUUCGAGCAAUUUUUUUUCUGGCUUUUCUUGACACUAAUUCUGUCUCUGGCUUCCUAUAACACAUAAAUGAUAUGGAAAUUAAAGCAUGAGUGAAGAUCAAACAAAAAGUCACAGUACUUGAACACUGUUAUUCUAACUUUCCUGGGUGAAGUAAUUUGUAUUAAAUUAUGCCAACUAAGCUACCCUAAACAAAUGUCAAUGUUGAAAACUAAAGACAAAAUACUAGACAACGAGGUGCUGGCUAAAGGAUUUCCAGGACAUUUUUCAGUUAAUAAGACACAUAAAUUUUCCAUACUUAGAAGACAAAGUUCAAAUCAGGAAGCCUCAAAGUACAAUAUUUAUGACAGGGAGCAAAUACACAAGCUGUCACUGGCAUUCCAUAACUUCCCUUUUUAUCACAUGCAUGUAAUGUUCACUAUAGUUCUUAUCUCUCUACUGAUAAGAAGCCUUUGCCAAGUAGAAGAUCCACUAACUUACCUGCUCCUAGCUGCAAAUGACAUCCUGCAACCCUUUCAAACUUAUCAGAAAAUAAUGGCCACAUAAUGAGGUUUGAAUAUAGCAAGGUUUGAAUGUAGCAAUAUAGCUACACUGGGUAUAAUCAUUCUCUUUGUGGAAUAAGAGUAUCAUAAAAGCACGUGAACAUAAAAAUUAUGAAAACAAGUAGAGAAACAUUAAAUAAUUCUGGAAAAGUACAUUGAACUGGGCAGUGGGCAUCUGAAUGUCAAGAUUUUUAAACUCAGAUAGCACACAUUCUUACAAAUUAUUACCCAAAUACUGCAGUCAAAUGAGAUUGUCUCAAUAUAUAAUGCCAUUCCCUUAUGUUUUGUACAGGGUUACUCAAAAAAGAUCCUUAGAAAAGGUUUCCACAGGCCUGGGACACGCUUAGAAUUUAGGUUCUACACUUUUCACUCAUACUGAAACAAGACACUGUGAAAAAAUAACUUUGGCCAUGUGACAGCAAAUUAAUGAGUCCUAUGAAUAAUGCAUCAACCAGAGUGAUAACAUUCUUGGCUUUAGUGGAACAAGACAGCAAUCUGGUGAAGAGCUAAAGCAUGUCAUGGACUACUUGCAAGUCCUCUUUACUUUCUAAAACUCUCCUCAGCUGUUUUGGGUGUAUUUUGGAAGGAACAGCAAACACUCCCAGCUGAAAUAGUUAUCACUUCUGCAGAUGUUGGGGGAUUUUCCUUCUGGGAAGAACUGGACUCAUAAGGUAGGAGCAGCUUGUAUCUUCAUGGAAGUUUCACUUGGAAUGCAGAUAUGCUAUGUUGUGAACUGGUAACCUGAAUAAGGGACACAGAUGUGCUCAGUGUAAAAUGUACAUUCAGUUUGUCUGACCUAAUUCUUCAGAGUCAGCCACAGCUGAGGUACCUCAGGAACAAAACAACCACACGAGGAGCCAGCUAAGGGCUUGCAAAUCCUCUUCAUUAUUCAUUAUAGAAUUAUACACAUACUUUUGGAGUUUAACCAAGCAACAAAUAGAUGAAAUGGUUUAAAGUAAAAUCUAUACUUACAUGUUGACAUGUCCUACAAGUCUUCCAGAACUGGGCCAAAAGCCAGUAAGAAAAGUUGCCCUCAUCAGGGACUCAUGUGCUCUGGUGCAGCUUUGUAAUACGUGUAGCAUGAGCUGGGAAAAUAGAUUUCCCAUUGUACAUGAAGACACGGCUCGCUUCUCAGUAACACUUCAUAACUGUAGGCUGUUCAAUUAAAGCUUGACUGCAACAGGACUCUUUUAGAUUGGCACCCUGCAUCCCUCAGAUUCACACAAGCACUGGAGUGCUGGCUGGAAGGGAUCUCUGGAUGCCUCUGGUCCUGUCCCCCACAGAGGACAGGGCUGUUGCCAGCCCUAGAUCAGAUCAGCUGCUGCUUUGCCGGGAUGAGUCCCAGGAACUUCCAAGGACAGAGAGUCCCUGACCACUCUGGUAACCUGUUCAGUGCUGCACCAGCCUCACAGUGAAGAAGGUUUUUCCGAAUGUUCCACCUGAACAUGCUGAGCUGCAGCAUGUGACUUCUGUCCCUCUUUAUACCACUUGCC